GAUGAACGCUGGCGGCGUUCCUAAUACAUGCAAGUCGAGCGAACAGACGAGGAGCUUGCUCCUCUGACGUUAGCGGCGGACGGGUGAGUAACACGUGGAUAACCUACCUAUAAGACUGGGAUAACUUCGGGAAACCGGAGCUAAUACCGGAUAAUAUAUUGAACCGCAUGGUUCAAUAGUGAAAGACGGUUUUGCUGUCACUUAUAGAUGGAUCCGCGCCGCAUUAGCUAGUUGGUAAGGUAACGGCUUACCAAGGCAACGAUGCGUAGCUGACCUGAGAGGGUGAUCGGCCACACUGGAACUGAGACACGGUCCAGACUCCUACGGGAGGCAGCAGUAGGGAAUCUUCCGCAAUGGGCGAAAGCUUGACGGAGCAACGCCGCGUGAGUGAUGAAGGUCUUCGGAUCGUAAAACUCUGUUAUUAGGGAAGAACAAAUGUGUAAGUAACUAUGCACGUCUUGACGGUACCUAAUCAGAAAGCCACGGCUAACUACGUG
Molecule: ribosomal RNA, 497 nt
Filed under: uncultured bacterium
Lineage: Bacteria
Description: partial 16S ribosomal RNA
Rfam family: Bacterial small subunit ribosomal RNA
Source: RNAcentral